UUUAAAAUCAAAACUUACAGCAAUAAUUCUAUAGCAAUAAAACUAUAAAAGCUACUAUUAUAGCCAACAUAGCUACAGCAAAAUCUCUAUAGAAUUUGUUUUACAGUUACAGCCCAACCAAUCACUCAUUUAGUUCCUUAACUUUAAGUAGUGUAUUUGUAAGAUAGAGAGAAAAAACACCAAUU
Molecule: small RNA, 185 nt
Filed under: Arabidopsis thaliana (thale cress)
Lineage: Eukaryota; Viridiplantae; Streptophyta; Magnoliopsida; Brassicales; Brassicaceae
Description: ATSL171730
Source: RNAcentral